Molecule: ribosomal RNA, 300 nt
Filed under: uncultured bacterium
Lineage: Bacteria
Description: bacterial SSU rRNA
Rfam family: Bacterial small subunit ribosomal RNA
Source: RNAcentral
UUAACUCCGUGCGAGCGGCCGCGUACAUACGUAGGGUCCAAGAGUUGUCCGGAAUGACUUGGCGUAAAGAGUUGCGUAGGUGGCAUGUUAAGCGAAUAGUGAAAUGACGAGGCUCAACCUUGUGUCCAUUAUUUGAACUGGCAAGCUAGAGAAUGUGAGAGGUACCUGGAAUUCCCUGUGUAGGAGUGAAAUCCGUAGAUAUAGGGAGGAACACCGAUGGCGUAGGCAGGGUACUGGCACAUUUCUGACACUAAGGCACGAAAGCGUGGGGAGCAAACGGGAUUAGAUACCCCAGUAGUC